CAGCUGUCCUUUGCUUCGUUCUCAUCUGUGUCCCCAGAGGGUAAUGUCUGGGAUGGUGGUGUUGAAACAUAAAUCCCGGGGAGAAAUGUGGUGGUGAAGGGCUGUUUGUGAGCGGCCUGGCCUGGCUCCAUCUGCCUCUGUCUGAGCGGGUGAAGAAGCAUGUCCUGGUCCAUGGGGUGUUUGCAUCCUGGUUCCAGCAGCAUGAGAUGCCCAGGGAUGGAUGGAGGGGCCCGGCCACGCUUGGAAGGAAGGCAGCAGCGUUUGGGCUAAAUUUUUGAGCUCUCCAAGGGGAGUUUGAAGAUCUGGCUGUCAGAAAGAAGCACCAUGCCAUUAAUCAUCUGUGUUUGCACAGCAUCGAGCGGAGCAAAGUCUUGGCUUGGGAUGGGGCAGCCGAUGCUGUCAUAACAUGAAGAAUAAGCAUC
Molecule: long non-coding RNA, 422 nt
Organism: Tympanuchus pallidicinctus (lesser prairie-chicken)
Lineage: Eukaryota; Metazoa; Chordata; Aves; Galliformes; Phasianidae
Exons: 3
Source: RefSeq, a predicted model, not a curated record